UGGUGUUGUGUCCACUCGCCACAUAUUUCACGGUACAGCGCCCAAGCACACCCGCUCUGAGUGGGUGGUCACUUCCAUCCCCGCUUGUAACCUUAUUGCAUGUAACUAUCUGCGAUGUACGAUGAGACGUUAGAGAAGGUGUUAAAAGUGACAGUUGGUCGACACGCCAGGGUCCUACAGAAGGACCUUUCUAGAAUAAUAUAC
This 204-nucleotide unclassified non-coding RNA is filed under the name Yarrowia lipolytica. Lineage: Eukaryota; Fungi; Ascomycota; Dipodascomycetes; Dipodascales. The record is from RNAcentral.